RNAcentral lists this long non-coding RNA (884 nucleotides) under Medicago truncatula (barrel medic). RNAcentral describes it as "lncRNA gene42750". Lineage: Eukaryota; Viridiplantae; Streptophyta; Magnoliopsida; Fabales; Fabaceae. The record is from RNAcentral.
UCUACAUCGCACGAGAGUAACCUAGCUCACUAUAGAUUUUUUUUAUAAGUGAGAAGAAAGGAAAUACAUUAAGAGGAGACUCAGACAUCUAACAAGAUUGGCACCUCCAAAAACACUAUCAUAUACAACACCAAAACCAUCAAAGAUAGAAAAACAAACAGGGGGAAAAAAACAGAGAAAAAAGAAGUGGCCCUAAAGGAAAAUAUGCUCCUCAGUCGCCCUUGGAACGGGUGUUGUGUGUAGUGACUUUGGUGAGUUGUUUCUUCUGCUUCUUCAACAAAUGAGGAGUAAAAUGUUCGUUUGAAGCGUCAUUUUUCGUAGCCCUUAUUUGACGAAGCAAUUCCAAGACAUUCUGAAGCACCGGGUAGCGGUGCUGCCGUGCUGGGGAAGGGGGUUCUCAGUAUGGGAAGUAUCAGUAUGAGCUAGUUCCUCUUGUAUAAUAUUGUUUUGGAAUACAUUAUGCUCAAAAUUCGGCUGGGAUAUAACUGGUAUCAAAAGAGGUUCCUCUUCAACAGGAACUUGUUUAUUCUCUUGUUCCACAUGUGCAUGUUCAUAUAUGUCACCAUAACCUGAUCAUUCACUGUGGCUUGAAUCUGCGCCACUAAAUCAUGUGUGUUGUCAACAUGAGUUGCUACUGAUUCAAUUUGCUUUUAUGUGCCUACUUCAACCUCCUUCUCAUGAGGUAUAUAUUGUUGUGUUACUUUUUUUGUGUCAGCAAGCUGAUUAUUUGUUGGCUUCAUUCCUUAAUCAAAAUUUUUCAUUGGUUUCUUUGGAUGCAACCACUUGCGAUUCAACACUGUAUGAUCGAUGAGAUUGCAAUGGUGACAGAAUAUCAAUAGUUUCUCAUAUUGAACCUCCACAUCAAAUGUGUAAACAUCCCUUUC